RNAcentral lists this long non-coding RNA (2626 nucleotides) under Homo sapiens (human). Its description in RNAcentral is "HSALNT0150329". Lineage: Eukaryota; Metazoa; Chordata; Mammalia; Primates; Hominidae. The record is from RNAcentral.
UUUGGUGGAAUAACUCAGUAUUCAUUUAAAGGUUUUGGAUAUUACAAGUGUCUUAAAUGUGAGAAAGUGUCUCAGAUUUAGAUCUAUCAUUGUACCUGUUAUCUCUCAGACAACAGAGCCAUUAGCAAUGAAGGGCUAACUGCUGAUCACAUAUUUUUUAUUAUAAAAAUCUUUGUAGAGACAGCAUUUCAUGGAGAAGCUUGAACAUUGCUUGAACUGGUAGUAAUUUCAGAAGAAAUAAGUGAUUCGAAGAAAUAUAAUGGUGAAUAUAUUCUAUGGCCAGGCAGCAGUGAUAGAAGGAUCUCCUUUGACCCUAUGACAAUUGUUAUUGAUUAUCUUGUGAUGAAAAUGAACAACUGUAAUUCCUAGAUAAUUUAAAUACAUAUUUCUACGUUAUGCUUGGCUUUAACAGCUGUCUGUGUGUAUAUAUGUGUGCAUAUCAAUUUUAAUCAGUCCCGUGGGACUAGAGAAAUUAAUGUCCUCUGAUUUUUUUUAUGUUUUAUUGUGGAUUGAUAAUGAGUAUGUUUAUACACCAUUAGUAAUACCAGCAGCAAUAUUUUCAUAGCUGGCUGAUUUUUAAUUUGGGUUAUAUUGAGUACAUUCAAUAUAUUUCAACAAGAACAUAAUAGCUAAGGAUGAGUGCCUGUAAAGGCUCUUCUUUGGAUCUAUUCAUAUUUUUGAUCAACCAUACCAACAGUUACUUUGUACACUCCUUCAUGCCUAUAAAAUUAUGUAACAAUGUCCAAUAGUUCUGAAACUAUAUCAUAGAUUUUCAAUAUGUACAACUGACCCUCAAAUUUUCUAGUUUAAAUAACUCUCUAUCUUAGCUUAACAGGAUGAUCAAUGAUGCUGAAACAGGGUGGAUGCACAUAAGAGAGGAAUCAGUGUUUUGAUGUCAUGGUUUCAAGCCAGAUGAUAAGACAAAUGUUACAUCAGGCACUUUGAUGGAAUGUUUCUGGAAAUCAAUAAACCUUGAAUUUCUGACCCUUAAUUUACUAUGGACAAAAUGAUAUCUAUAAUAAGCAGAUAAAAGUGGUAGUCUUUCUAUGUCUCAAAAAAAAGAUAUCAUAUAUAUAACCCUGUAGUUUGUGAUCCAUCUUUCUAUGUAUAUAAGCUUAUAAUGAGGAUGCAUAGCUAUUUAUAAGCUAAGAAAUGUAAGAAUUAAUUAUAUAUAUAACUAUUGAAUUAAAAAUUAAGCAUAUUGCUUUUAUGCUCUCAUUCAACAUGCAUGUAUUAAUGGUCAUAUAUGUACACAUGUAUGUAUAUAUGAAUGUAAGUGUAUACAUAUAUGGUUGUGCACAUGCACACGUGCAUAUAUAACUUGUGUCAGAGUUGCCAUACAGUGGUAUCAUUUACACUGUAUUCUAUAGAUCUGUGUGAAAUGGAAGCCCUGUCCCAGAUGCCGUAUAAACACUGGUAAAUAUAAUCAAUAUGGUGUCAAUCCCCAAUAAUCAAAGUUCAGGAGAGAUAAGAAAGUAAAGAACAAGGAAACAAACAUAGAAUUAGUAUGUGUGAUGUACCCUGAAGAUGAUAAUAUUAAUAUAAAAGAGUGGUCAAGGGAAGCUAAAUUAUAGAAAGUGGCAAGGGAAAGCUUUAUUAAGAAAGCAAGACUUGAAGUUUGAGAAAGAACCAGUCAAAUGAAGAGCGUGGAGACUGAGUAUUAAAGGCAGGAGGGAAAACAUGUGUUCAGAGAACACUGAAGCAGGAAGGAUUUUAACAACAUUGAAAUUAUCAAAGAAUACCGACACAGCUGGAGAAGAGAGAGGGUAAAAAAAGACCUUAAAAUGAUAUUGGUGAUGUGUCUAGUGGCUGGAUCAUACAGGUCCUUGUAAGGUAUAUUUAACAGUGUGGAUUUUAUUCUUAAUGCAAUGUGGAGCCACUGCCAGCUUUUAAGUCUGAGAGUAGUAGCUUAAAUAAUUGACUCUGGAUAUUGUGUAAUGAGAGCCUGAAGCAGAGAUAAAGUAAAAAUGGGAAUAACAGUUAAGAAAUCAUGGAAUCAAUCCAUGUAAGAGAUGACAGUGGCUUUACUGUGAUAAUGGCAAUGGAAAUAGACAUAUUCAAAUACUAUUUUGAGGACAAAAAAUGUCAGAAAUUGGUAAAUUAUGUGAUUAUUUAUCAUAUAAUUUAUGUGAUUACUUAUCACAACCCAUCUAAGCUAUUAUCAAUUUCUGGCAUAAUAAACAAUAGCUAUGCCCUCACAAAAAUAUCAUAAAAAAGAAUGAAUUAUAGGUAUUAUUAAAAUAUACAUUUUUUUAUGAGCAAAAGAAACCACAUUUUAUUCAAAGGUCUAAAACAGAAGUGUCUAGCCUGGGAGAGUAAUGGGCGAUCAGACGAGUAAUGUUUACUUUUAAUAUGUCAAAAAUGUUUCAGAAUUAAUGAAUUUUCUUUGAUGAGGCAACUUCAAAUAUCUUUGCUUAGGAUGUUUAGGGCUUGACAUGGAAAACUUUGUUUAGCUUUUGAUAAUGUAUUUAUUGUCUGUAUAUGAUUCAUCAUGAUGAGAAUAUUAUGGAUUCCCUUUAAAUAUUAUCCAGUGUGUGUGUAUACAUGUGCAUAUAUAUGUGUUAAUAAAGUAAUGUAUGCUUAUAAAAACAAAACAUAUUUAAAGGAAUAAAGAAUAAAAUAAAAA